UACGUAGGGUGCAAGCGUUAAUCGGAAUUACUGGGCGUAAAGCGUGCGCAGGCGGUGAUGUAAGACAGAUGUGAAAUCCCCGGGCUCAACCUGGGAACUGCAUUUGUGACUGCAUCGCUGGAGUACGGCAGAGGGGGAUGGAAUUCCGCGUGUAGCAGUGAAAUGCGUAGGUAUGCGGAGGAACACCGAUGGCGAAGGCAAUCCCCUGGGCCUGUACUGACGCUCAUGCACGAAAGCGUGGGGAGCAAACAGG
RNAcentral lists this ribosomal RNA (253 nucleotides) under uncultured bacterium. Its description in RNAcentral is "partial 16S ribosomal RNA". It matches the Rfam family "Bacterial small subunit ribosomal RNA", at positions 524 to 776 of the family's 1533-position model. The record is from RNAcentral.